RNAcentral lists this long non-coding RNA (583 nucleotides) under Androctonus crassicauda. Lineage: Eukaryota; Metazoa; Arthropoda; Arachnida; Scorpiones; Buthidae. The record is from RNAcentral.
AUUGAAUCCUUAACAUGAAUCCUGACGUUGGUUAUUUGUGAGCAUUUUCUUAUAUUUUUAACUCCAGAUGUUGUUGAUUUCUGGGUUUCAUCCUUAGUAAAGCCAUGGAGAGCAAGCAAACUUGAGUUUGAGAACUACACAUGGCAGAGGUAGGAAGAAGGAAGCUGAGCCUUUUUCCAGAGCCUUCUAGGUUCAUUUGCAUCUUUCCAGGUAGAACAGUAGCUACUUCUCAUACAAACGUUCUACCCCAGGAUACAGCUAGACUGUUAUAAGAGUUCCCACAAGGACUGAAUCAAGGAAAUGUCUUGUCACUAAACCAUACGAUUGUUGAGUGUUUUGGGUGAGCGUGUUCUAACAGGAUCUCUGUACGACUCCAUUUUCCUUUGUGAAGGUGAAGGACAGUCAUUCGCGGUCUGCCAUUCAGUUGUCUGGGCCUGGCCUCAUUCUGCUAUAUACAAGCACCUAGUAACUCACCCUAGUUGCCAUUUUCUUAAAUUGCCAUGAGCCAAAUACUUCAAUUGAUUAAUCUAUUUUAAUGGCUGCCUUCGUUGCUUUUCUUUUUGCUAUCCAUUUAUAGUUGGUA